GCGAACUCAAGGUCUCCGACUUCGGUCUCUCCUCCGAUGCUGCCACACCCGACCUCCUCCAAACGCUCUGCGGCACACCAGCCUAUGUGGCCCCGGAGAUCCUCGCUAAGAAAGGCUACUCCGGCGCGGCUGUGGACGUGUGGUCCUGUGGGGUCGUUUUGUUUGUUCUCACUGCCGGUUACCUGCCGUUCAAUGAUACAAACCUAAUGGCUAUGUAUAGGAAGAUUUACAGAG
RNAcentral lists this unclassified non-coding RNA (234 nucleotides) under Hevea brasiliensis (rubber tree). Lineage: Eukaryota; Viridiplantae; Streptophyta; Magnoliopsida; Malpighiales; Euphorbiaceae. The record is from RNAcentral.